AGGACACACAGAGCUUAACGGGGAGGAUGAUAUACUCCCUCACUGAACACACCAUUUUUCUCCUUCUUUUUUCUUCACAAUUGAGGCAAGACGUGCACGUUCUCAGUACAUAUACGUACACAGACACACAUUGAGAUUGAGAGAGGUGAGGAGGAGAAGAAAAUGAGCAGAGAAGGGAACUGAUCUAGAUUGAGAAAAAAAUAGUAAAGAUUGAAGGCCGAUUUAGUAGAAAAUGGUGUGAGAGAAGAAAAGGAUGAAUGAAGGGGUAGAUCGGGAAUAGGAGGUCAAAAAUGGAGUGUUG
RNAcentral lists this long non-coding RNA (301 nucleotides) under Capsicum annuum. RNAcentral describes it as "long non-coding RNA (CANN_LNC014906)". The record is from RNAcentral. Lineage: Eukaryota; Viridiplantae; Streptophyta; Magnoliopsida; Solanales; Solanaceae.